GAAUCAUAUUUUCCCAACAGUUCUCAAGAAACCCAAGCGUUUUGAUUGUCCCCAAUUCAAGCCAAUCUAAUUGAUAAUCAUUGAAAUUGAUGGCACUAUCAUUCUCGGUAGCUAAAUGUGAUGGAAGAUGUUCUUAAACAACACAAUAAUCAACAACUUGAUUUGGAUUCCCCGUAGAGCAGAGGAAGCUGGUAUGUGCGAGCGGCGGCUAGGGUUUUGCCAUAUUUUAGGUGGAAUGGGGUCAGAGCAGGAUCUCCAUCCCGAUUGGGGUCAAACCGAUCGAAUUCUGGCUCUGCUAUGCUAACUCUAUUGGCUACAUGCGAUGUUAUUGGAUCGACAGGUAUUAUUUUAUUGUGUUUUCUCGCAGAGUGCUUCAGGAGGAGGAGUGCUGGAUUGACUUAACUCAAAUACAAGGAAGAUGAGCAAGAAGAACCCACUUGUAUACUUGGACGUGUCUAUAGAUGGAGAUCCUAUUGAAAGAAUGGUUUUUGAGCUCUUCUCAGGUACUGUUCCUAAAACUGCUGAGAAUUUUCGGGCACUUUGUACUGGAGAAAAGGGGAAUGGUCAGAAAACUGGAAGACCCUGCACUACAAGGGAUCCUUUUUCCAUCACAUAAUUAAAGGAUCUUUGGCUCAGGCAUAUGUCUAUUGGUGUUAUGUCAAACGGCUUGCGAAGUAGACAGCAACCAAGACUUGGAAUCCCAGAAAGAAGUGUCAUUCGUAAGGCUGGAAGCAUAUAUCUUCAUAAACAUGGAGAAGUUGACGGGUCAAAAGUACGCGUGCAGGUCGAUAUUGAAGAAAAAACUUGUGACGCAACCAACUCCUGGGGAUUAUGUAAUGCUUGCUUAUCACCAUUGAUGUGGGGAUUAACAACCAAAAACUAUUGCUUGAUGAGUUUUAUAUUGGUCUCAAACACAAGAAUGCCACUCGAAAGGAAUAUUAUGACUUACUUGAAGAGUUAUGUCUGCAGUCAAGCAAAGCUAUGGUCAAAAAGUGUUUGUGCAGUGUCUCUUAAAACUUAGAUUUACCCAAUAGCUCAUAAAUGUACCUAUCAGCCAAAUAUAAAACCACUCAGUUGGCGUUCAGUGAUGAUAUUUAUAUUGUUGAUUGAUGAUUUUCUAUUCAAACUCAACAACUUUCAUGUAGUUAGAUAACCUCAAUUUUACUCUACAGAACUAGGCAUUAGGCAUGGUGUCGGGCCGGGCGGGUUUGAGAUGCGGGUCAGAAUGGGUAGUUCAAAACAGGUUGGUUCAGUAAGGGUUACUUUUGUUCGGAUCGGGCUUGAGCGCUUAACCCAACGCUCGACUUGUGCGGUUCUGGGCUACGCUUGCACCGGGUUGCGACAUUGGAUUUGUUCAAAAGGUCUUAUCUUCUUCCAUCUCAAUUUACUCAUUGAUAUGCGCAGAAAGAAACACACAGUUUCCCCCGGUUUGAAAAAUAAUACCAACCCAUGCUGACCCAUUUGAAAUAUAACACCGACCCAUUGUGACCCAUUUCAUUAGAAAGGGUUGUCUCCAUCAACCCACACUGGCCCGUUUCAAUUUAUGCCACCUUCUAAAUAGUUUUAUUCAAUAAUAUAUAUUUAUUUUUGUAAUGAUAUACUCUGUGGCCCCACCCGACCAGACCUGACUAACUUUAGUAAAUUUUUGUGAAGAUUGUACCAAAGUUUUGAUUUCUUGGAAGCUUUUGAUUAAUAACCAAGAUGCAAUUUGAGUUUUGUAUCGGUGAGUUCGUCACCUGGAAGUGGAGACACAACAGUCAUCGAGGCAAGCGGCGUCCGAGGUGUCGAGCUAGACCUUAGGCAAGAGAUCAAAGAGGCAUUUGAGUUGUUUGAUACUGAUGGGUCUGGUACCAUUGAUGCCAAGGAGUUGAAUGUUGCUAUCAGCGAAGAGUUCAGGAAGACGUUCAAGAAAGACAAUUGAAAUGUGAAAGUUGUUUCAGCUGUCGGGAAACCUGCUGGAGAGAAGUGGAAAUAUUUGAGUGCAGAUGUACGCAAAAUAUGGUUUUCGAUCUUUCAUAGUUUCAUAUAUAUGGCAUACUUUUUAACUUCAGUCAUUCAAUCAAGUAGUUAUGUAGUAAUCCUAUCAAUCAAUAAAUAUGUUUUUAUCACCCAGUUUGUUCGAAAGUAUUGGCUAUUGAUCACAGGGACAUGCUGGGACAGUUAGCAUUUCUUCGCU
Helianthus annuus (common sunflower) is the source of this 2176-nucleotide long non-coding RNA. RefSeq lists it as uncharacterized. Lineage: Eukaryota; Viridiplantae; Streptophyta; Magnoliopsida; Asterales; Asteraceae. The record is from RefSeq and is a predicted model, not a curated record. The transcript has 9 exons.